AGUGAACGCUGGCGGUAGGCCUAACACAUGCAAGUCGAACGGCAGCACGGUAAGAGCUUGCUCUUACGGGUGGCGAGUGGCGGACGGGUGAGGAAUACAUCGGAAUCUACUUUUUCGUGGGGGAUAACGUAGGGAAACUUACGCUAAUACCGCAUACGACCUACGGGUGAAAGCAGGGGAUCUUCGGACCUUGCGCGAUUGAAUGAGCCGAUGUCGGAUUAGCUAGUUGGCGGGGUAAAGGCCCACCAAGGCGACGAUCCGUAGCUGGUCUGAGAGGAUGAUCAGCCACACUGGAACUGAGACACGGUCCAGACUCCUACGGGAGGCAGCAGUGGGGAAUAUUGGACAAUGGGCGCGAGCCUGAUCCAGCCAUACCGCGUGGGUGAAGAAGGCCUUCGGGUUGUAAAGCCCUUUUGUUGGGAAAGAAAAGCAGCAGGUUAAUACCCCGCUGUUCUGACGGUACCCAAAGAAUAAGCACCGGCUAACUUCGUG
RNAcentral lists this ribosomal RNA (492 nucleotides) under uncultured bacterium. Its description in RNAcentral is "partial 16S ribosomal RNA". It matches the Rfam family "Bacterial small subunit ribosomal RNA", at positions 29 to 507 of the family's 1533-position model. The record is from RNAcentral.